This is a long non-coding RNA of Alligator mississippiensis (American alligator), 6739 nucleotides long. RefSeq lists it as uncharacterized. The record is from RefSeq and is a predicted model, not a curated record. The transcript has 3 exons. NCBI's taxonomy places the organism in Eukaryota, Metazoa, Chordata, Crocodylia, Alligatoridae.
GGGAUGGGGAUAGGAAAGGAGCUGGUGAAGGCAAAAAUAUGAAGAAAGAUGGUAGAGGGUGGGGAAAGGAGAGAAUGUGCAAGAAAGACUCUGUGUUCAAAAGCUGACAAAGGAGGGAUAAAAUGUAAAGCUAUGCCAAGGCCUGAAAUUGCAGAGCAAGAAGAGCUGAUAAAAAACAAACAAAACAUUUUUAGUCAUCAGGCUAAAAGCCAUCAAGGUACUUCAGACAUGGGGUAAGAAAUAGCUGGCUUGAAUUACUCACCCACACCCUUUCUUUCUUGGGCAUAUCUCAGAAAGUAUUUGGUGCCCCAGCAGAAGCAGAUGAGGAAAAGGCUCUACAAGAACCAGGUGCUAGAUGGGAGAGUGAAGGCAGAACAGAAGACUCAUGGUCAGAGAUGGCCAAAAUUCACCGGUGAGUCAAAGUGAGGAAGAACAGGGAUCUUCAGUGAAGCAUACAAGUGAUUAUUACCAGCUGGAAACUGGGGCAUAAAGUAAGCUGUCUCACAUAUAACCUGAUAUAGAGUCCACAGAAGUCAGUGGGAACUUCUAAGGAAAAAAAAAAAGGUGACUCUGGAACAGGAGGGAGCAAGACAAUAGUUCAUCUACAGGGGUGUGAAAAUCAAAAGGAGUGAGGCUUGGAGAUUGUGUGCUGAAGGAACACCCAAAAGUUUUGAUUAAGCCAGGUCCUUAACCUUACUCCUCAUUGACAAUGGAACUCCCUAUGGGGCAUGAUUACAGGUUUGCCUUUGUUCUUUCAAAAGUUAUUGACUUCUAGAAACCUGGAGGAAAAUGUAAUUCUGGAAAUAAAUAUAUGACUAUAAUUAAUAUUCUAAUAAUAAGAACCCCUUAAGUGUUCUUUCACAGAGAAAAGCUGCAUAGAAGCCCCAGGCUCCUUCCGACAUGAAAGACAUGACAUUGUCUUUUUAAUUGUUUUUGUUUUUUUGAUAUUAUGCAUAUUGAAUCCACUUUGCCUGAAACCACUGGGUCAGGAAAAAGGCUAUAAAAAAUGAAGGUGAUGGGUUUCAUAGAGACAGAAACCUGAAAAAAACCUUUUUUUGCUAUUAUUAGACAAGGUUAGAGUCUUCUCCUAGCUAAAUUCUGACUCAGAGAAGUAUAAUGACCCUAAAAUCUCUCCGCUGCUUCACGGGACACUUAGGUCACGUCAGUGUGUGAUAUUAAAGAAGCACCCUAUUUCAUUCCAGAAGUGUUUGCAGUUUAAAAAUGGAAGAAGAGAUUUGCCGCAUGGUUGGUAUAUCAAUUCAUAAACUGUUCUGAAAUCCUUUGGGGGUGCAAGACGUUAUAGAAAUGCAAGAUAUCAUCAUCUUUGGGCCAGAGAGCUCCGAUUGUUUGUGCAAGCAAGGAGGAAUCAGAUCUCGUCAAAAUCCACUGGGUGUGCUGAAAUGAGGGAAGAUGGAAAAUGCAACAAUCUGGAUCUUUAACCCAAGUCUGCCUGAAGCAGCUUUAACUCAGGCUGGAUACAGGCAGCCCCUCCUCCCUUCUCAUCGCCACAGAGGGCGGUUUUUAGACUAGUAUCAGAUGCCUUCCCACUGACAGAAUAGUUUCUGAAGACAAGGAGAAGUGAUCCCCCACUUUCUGUGGGUUCUGGCAAUCUACUUAUGUAGGACGCUGCACCUCGUACCCCUUCCAAGGACACCUUUCCCCCUGCCGACUUCGCCCCCACACCUUCUCAAAUGAAGAAUUUGAACCCUGCUAAAGGAUCCCCAACAGGAAGAAAGAGUUUAUUGUUUCUGUGAAUUCAUUUCCUUCCCGGAUUUGAAGACUGAUAGACUCCUAGUGUGGAAAGGAAUAUGCCAAUAAAGCAAUUGUCCUGAUUAUCAGAGGGAUACACUUUGCUGGGAGAUAUUUACUUUUAUUUAAUUAAGCUGCUUUAAUAAGAAGAUGAGUGAGUCUAUGCUGUGUCACGUGUUACAUAGUCCAGCAGUGGCCUCCCAAUCCUGCAGGGAGAGGAAGAGCCUCUCCGCAGCCUAUUUGUCAACUUCACCUUCCCACGAGCUGUUCUUUUGAAAUUCCCCCAUCCUGUAUCAAGAGAAUCAAGAGAGAAUGCUUCACCAGCAUGCAGGGUGAUAAGAGGAAGGGAAGCCCAGAAGUAGUUCUCCCACUUAGCAAACACUUAAACCUGACCAUGAAGCUCCUCAGCAUAAGUUGCCAAGAACCCAGCAAGUUUCAAAUUUCUAUGGACAAAAGGUAAACAUCCUGGCUGAUGCAGAUGACCUAAUUCUUCUUGCAAGCCAGCUUAAUGAAUUCUAGAAGAUGGUGGAUGUCAAUUACAAAGUGUCUGGCUACAUCUCAGUUUCAAUACAUUGAAUUGUGCCUCACAACAUACUUACUGCCUAAAGAGAAGAUCCAACAUAGCCACCACCAUCAUAAUCCAGGGUGAAACCAUGAGGUUCAUUAGAAACAAGACAAUUCAUAAGAAAGUGGACAGUGAGAUUCUGCAGAGCCUUAAGAAGUGGAUGUCUCUAUUGCUGUGGGACAGCAAUGAGGUCCUGCACAUCCCCUACAGGCAGGGGUUACCAACAUCCCUCACAUGGGAGAGCUGUGACAUUGUCAUACUGACCCAUGCCUUCUGCCUCCUAACCUGCCCAAGUGAGCUGGUAAGCAGUAUUGGCACAAAUACUCUAAGGGAAACCACCAAGAGGAGGAUUUCUAGGCCACCAUCCAGUGAUGACUUGGCCAUGUUCCCAAGUAGGUUGCAGAGGGAUCAGUUCAGUCAAGACAGCAGAAAUUUUGCCUCACUGUGGCCACAUGCCUGCAAUGCCACACACCACUUCAGGAAGCACAUCAGCUGCCACUGGACACCAUGCAAGUAGCAGCAGGAGGUAUGGAGGGAUGGGGAGAUGUCAGUGUAUCCAACCCCAACCACCAACCAGAUUGUGGCCACUCCUCAAGUGAGGACCUGUGGAGAGGGUCCUGAAAGGCCUAAGGCCCACCUGGCUAACUAGUAGCCCCUAUUGUAUGGGGGCUAAUUAAUGGGUGAAUGCUACAACAAAAUGCUUUGGACAACUAAUGAAAAAAACAGGAUAGGAGUGUCAUGUGGGUCAAAGGGUCAAAACGUGAAAAUAAGUGUGCCUCAGGGAGACACUGAGCAGAGCCCCCUGGGCCACACCCACCAGUCCUCAAAGGCAUCCAAGGACCCAGUGGACAUUGCUCAUUGGUGCUCUGCUCAGAAAUGUGCACGGAUUGAAAGGAAAGUGGCCCUGCAGUCUCCAGGCACCUUCCUGGCCAGAGCCUCCUUCCUAGUUAUGUACAGGGCCCACUUGGCCAGGGCCAGGAGGAGGUUGACCAGGAAGUCCCAGGACUUGGUGGGAGCAUGGAUGGGGUGACCAAAACCAAAAAGUUGGGGGGUGAGAUUCAACCAGAAUCUCAGGAGGAGGUUCUGGAGGUAGAGGGGCUGCAGCCUGGUGCACUUGAGGGUCAUGUGCACCGAGGUCUCCCUCUGCCCACAGAAGAGGCAGGAGACCGGGAUGUCCAUAAAGCUUGCCUGUGGUGCUGGCUCCAUGGCGGAGCCACCACCUGAGGUCCCCAGUGGCUUGUGGGAUGAGGGUGGAGAGUACAGACUCAGCCACUGGGGUGUGAAGGGGAAACCUGACCAGGCCAAAGUCUUUGAGAUCACCUUGAAGUGGGAUGCCAGAAAUUACUCCUGGCCUUAAGGCAAUUUCACUUGCUUUGUGGACUGUGGUUUCAUCAACUGAGCAUGCAUCAACUGCCUCCACUCAACAGCACUAUCUGCUAUGGCAACUAGGACAAGAAAUGUCAGAGAUGUGGCUACAAGAAUGAAACCCUGCCCAAGUCCUGUGUGGCUACAAGGGCAUGGCAACUUUGCCAUAAUACCACACAGGACUGGCUGAUCAGGGCCAUCUUAGCAUCAGUUGCAGCAGUGGCCAUGUACCAAACCAUCCCAGCCUGUGGCAGCCCAUUAAAGUCAGACAUUGUUGUGACCAAUAAGAUCAGUAAGAAAAUCAUGAUUAUCAGUGUGACCAUCUCCUUUUAGAACCAGUGGCAGGUUUUCACUUAAGCCCAUGAGCAAGAACUAGUGAAGGGCAGCCCACCUUGAGGGAGAAGAGGAAUGACGUAACAGUGCAAGUUUUGAAUUUUGGUGCACUCAGCCCAUGGGACCUGAAUGAUAAGAGUGUCCUGAGUACUUGCAGAAUACCCCAACAAUACUUCAAAGCUGAUGGGUGCCUCAUGGUAUCACAUACCAUCAGAGAGUCCAGAGACAUUUAUAUAGAAGGCAUCAUUGACCAUCACUAGCACAAGGAGAAUCAUCCAGGAAUACCUACCAGAAGUGAGGUCGCAGGGGCAAGGGGAAUGGACUGAAAGUGACACUUCUUAUGCUAUGGACUCUCUGAAAGACUCAAACAUUACAUAUAGCACUUUACCUUGGGCAAAUGUAGCCUGCAUGGUAAAUGCACUGCCUAAAAACACUCUACUAAUCCCUCAACUUUGCACCAAUAUGAUUACCAUGCACAAGCUCUUGUAACUAUAUCAUACCCUAUAAAAAAAUAACAUUUUCUUAAUAGAGAUGACAUUUGAGCAAGAGGGUGUGGUGUAGUUCCAGGUAUGAUAAAGUCAGAAGAAGUCACUGCCUGUUUUACUAAAUACAGAUGGACCUCUCAGGACUCUCAAGGGACUGGUGAUCUAGGAUGACAGACUAGGUUGUUUAUUGUUUUUUUCAUGAUCCAUACUCUUGUACUUUGCCUUUUAAAUAAAAAGCAAUGGUGUAUUUAGGAACUCUGUGCAACCCCCCCCCCCCCCCCCCCCCGAUCUGUAUUUGUCUGUGGGCUUCUAUUUGGCUUUAGUGUAAAUUACUAAGGAAAUCUUGCAGACCUGGCUUGAAGAUUAAUGCAAAUAACAUCUGGUUUCCUGCCAGGUGGUCUCAGGGGGAAUAUUGGCUCUUGAGAACUUAUUUUUUUUAUGUCCUUCUGUAGAUCUCUCUAAACAGAAGAAAAGAGCUGUUUUGUGCCAGUCAUAAUCGGGAAACUUUAAAUAGCAACGUGAAAAGAACAAAGUUUGACUGUAAUUUGGAAGAUAAUGAAAAAAAAAGAUGUAAAGCAGUAAAUGAGCUUGGAAACAGUUUCAUGUUUAAAAAAGCAAUAAACAGAGUGGCUGUAUCUAUUAAGCAGUUAAUUUCUAUAUACAGAGAUGGAUGUCACAGUGGGCAAACAAACAAAUGCCAUUUAUGCUAUAAGGCAACAUUUUCCAAAGUGGUGGGACAUUCCCCUAUGGGAGCAAGGCAAAACACAAGGACUAGCAGAAGGUGUAAACAGACAACUUAGUUGUUCUCUUGUGGCUCGGUUUUAAUUAAAAGGGGAAAAGUGUUUACUAUGACUGUGAUGCAAAUGGAAGUGAGAUUUGCUCAUGAAAGCUUAUGUAUUUCUGAUUCAGUUAGUCUAGAUAAGGUGCCUCUCUACUCCUACUUGGAUAUUCAGGACAGAGUUCUGAGUUAGCAUGACUGAAAUGAACAGGACAGUUUAAUGCAGAUAUCAAUAAAAUUUUAACUUUAAGUGUUUACUACUCAAAGCCUAUAAGAAAGGACAGGAAGUUCCAUAUGAAGAUCUACUGCCAUGUUUUUUUAGGAGCUGGGUGUUGGGGGUGAGUAGAAAACACCAUAUGGUUCAGAUAGGUGUAAAUAAAUAUGUGUAGGUGUUUAUCAAAAUGUGAUAUGAUGUACGUGUGUGUGUGUGUGGGGGGGAUUAUAUUUAAUAUUUGGAAACAGGACUGUACUCUUGUGAAAAUACAUUAUUGCAAACCUCAGGUAUUCAAAAAAAGAGGAUGAAGACACCUCCACCCUCAAAUCAUAUUGGACUUCUCCUUCUCCCCCCUAAAAAAACAAUCAGGUUUUGAGAAUUAAGUUCUUUUUGAUUGCCUUCUGGGUUUUGAACUGUUGGGGGCAGGGUCACAUAGUCAAGCUUUUCUCUUCAACCAUGAAGUCUGCAAAAUAAAAACUGCAGUUCUCAUAAAAUAAAAUAUCUCCCAAGAGAAACCUCAGGGGAUCAUGUAAUAAAAUCAUGAGCGUUGGCGAUUCUAAGACUUUUAGUUCCUAUCAAUGGUUCCCCUUCCUUCACACUGAGAAACAUCUAAACGUAGAGCCAAGAAAAGAAAAAAAAGAAAAAAGCUAAAGGUAUGGGUUAUGUUAGUAGUUUUGGAAGGCUGUAUACAAUAAGAUGCACUGGAGGAGUUAUUAGAACCACUUCUUCAGCUCAGCAGGCAAGACCUUUACACAGACAUCUGGCUGUCUCUCCCCUGUAUUUAUGUUGGUAGAACUAGUCUAUUAUCUGGUAUGUUUGUUUCUAUAUUUCCUGGAGUGUGGGGUGUAAGGCCAUACAUCCACAAAAGCCUGGAUUAGAGCUUUCUGGAUUAUAUAUUGCCCUAGAUGUAAGAGUAUUUGGGAGUUCUGAAUUCAAAUGAACAUUGCUAUGGAAAGAGUUGAUGAAAAGGGACUACCUUAUGGGCUAUUUCACUUAUUAUAAAACAGAAUUAUUGGAUGCUACUACUGAAUCUUCUUUAUGCAAGGACAAAUCCUAAAUCUUCAGUGCAAUUUGGCUGGCAUGAUACAGGCCUCUCCCAUUUUUUCCCCCUACAAUUGAUCAGAAAUCAAGCUUUCAUGUAGUCUACAGCCUAGUUUAAAAGCAUUUAGGACCAGAUCCAGAUUGAUCCUGUUGAUGCCAAAAUGGGACUUUGGUAGAAUUAGCCAUCUAAGUUCCAGACUGGCCCUAUA